This 506-nucleotide long non-coding RNA is filed under the name Lonchura striata (white-rumped munia). RNAcentral's name for it is "domestica (Bengalese finch) lncRNA (ENSLSDG00000010918.1)". The record is from RNAcentral. Lineage: Eukaryota; Metazoa; Chordata; Aves; Passeriformes; Estrildidae.
CAAAUGCCCCACAGAUGAGGGAGAGACUUUUCCGCCUCUCUCUUGCUGAAAUAGUUUGUCGCACCUGGACCAUUGGCCAUUGUCACGGCUCGGCCGCAGCAGCGCGGGCACGGCGCUACAAGAAAUCUUUGCAUUGCUAUUGGGAUCAGAGGUCACCGCUGCAGGGGACCAGGGCUGGUUUAUUAAACAGACAAGUCUGUUUAAGGUGUAAUUCCUCAGGAAGAGCAGUGUGCUUGUGGCCAUUUAAACGAGUUAACGGAGCGUGCCCGUUCAAGUCCGUCUGUGCUUUUCCCCAGGCACAAACCCCAGCUCGACGGGCGGGCGCCCAGGGUUGCUGUCGGCCGAGUCGCUCAGCCCCGCAGGUCCGUGACCUCUGGCUCCUGCCCAUGUCACAUCCCCGUCCUCCGGGUGGAAACUGCGGAAGAAAGUGCAGGAUACGCCUCGGUUUCGCUGACACCGCUCCAGCCGCGCUGGCUCCCGCACUGAAUCCUGGUAAAAUGCAGUAA